This 468-nucleotide ribosomal RNA is filed under the name uncultured bacterium. RNAcentral's name for it is "partial 16S ribosomal RNA". It matches the Rfam family "Bacterial small subunit ribosomal RNA", at positions 28 to 507 of the family's 1533-position model. The record is from RNAcentral.
GACGAACGCUGGCGGCGUGCCUAACACAUGCAAGUCGAACGGAAAGGCCCUGCUUUUGUGGGGUGCUCGAGUGGCGAAAGCGUGAGUAACACGUGAGCAACCUGCCCUUGACUUUGGGAUAACUUCAGGAAACUGGGGUUAAUACCGGAUAGGAGCUCCUCCUGCAUGGUGGGGGUGGGAACGUUUCGGCGGUUGGGGAUGGACUCGCGGCUUAUCAGUUUGUUGGUCGGGUAGUGGCUUACCAAGGGAUUGACGGGUAGCCGGCCUGAGAGGGUGACCGGGCACCUUGGGACUGCGAUACGGGCCAGACUAGUACGGGAGACAGCAGUGGGGAAUAUUGCACAAUGGGCGGAAGCCUGAUGAAGCAACGCCGCGUGCGGGAUGACGGCCUUCGGGUUGAAAACCGCUUUCGCCUGUGACGAAGCGUGAGUGACGGUAAUGGGUGAAGAAGCACCGGCUAACUACGUG